UGCCCUAUAGUAUAAUGGUUAUUAUUCUCGGCUCUAACCCGAGGGAUGUCCGUUCGAAUCGAGACUAGGGCGACCA
RNAcentral lists this transfer RNA (76 nucleotides) under uncultured phage cr52_1. RNAcentral's name for it is "tRNA-Gln". It matches the Rfam family "tRNA". From Rfam's summary of the family: Transfer RNA (tRNA) molecules are approximately 80 nucleotides in length. Their secondary structure includes four short double-helical elements and three loops (D, anti-codon, and T loops). Lineage: Duplodnaviria; Heunggongvirae; Uroviricota; Caudoviricetes; Crassvirales; Suoliviridae. The record is from RNAcentral.